RNAcentral lists this ribosomal RNA (310 nucleotides) under uncultured bacterium. RNAcentral describes it as "bacterial SSU rRNA". It matches the Rfam family "Bacterial small subunit ribosomal RNA", at positions 28 to 334 of the family's 1533-position model. The record is from RNAcentral.
GAUGAACGCUGGCGGCGUGCUUAACACAUGCAAGUCGAACGAGGUCCAUGGAGCUUGCUCCGGAAGACCUAGUGGCGAACGGGUGCGUAACACGUGAGAAACCUGCCCCGAUCUCUGGGAUAACAGUUGGAAACGACUGCUAAUACCGGAUGCCGUCACACCGCUUCAUGGCGGAGUGCCGAAAGAUUUAUCGGAUCGGGAGGGUCUCGCGGCCUAUCAGCUAGUUGGAGAGGUAACGGCUCACCAAGGCAUCGACGGGUAGCUGGUCUGAGAGGAUGAUCAGCCACACUGGGACUGAGACACGGCCCAG